This 418-nucleotide ribosomal RNA is filed under the name uncultured prokaryote. RNAcentral's name for it is "bacterial SSU rRNA". It matches the Rfam family "Archaeal small subunit ribosomal RNA", at positions 455 to 873 of the family's 1478-position model. The record is from RNAcentral.
GUGUCAGCCGCCGCGGUAAUACCAGCACCCCGAGUGGUCGGGAUGAUUAUUGGGCCUAAAGCAUCCGUAGCCGGUGUAACAAGUCCUCCGUUAAAUCCACCUGCUUAACAGGUGGGCUGCGGAGGAUACUGUUACACUAGGAGGCGGGAGAGGCGAGGGGUAUUCCACGGGUAGGGGUAAAAUCCUCUGAUCCGUGGAGGACCACCAGUGGCGAAGGCGCCUCGCCAGAACGCGCUCGACGGUGAGGGAUGAAAGCUGGGGGAGCAAACCGGAUUAGAUACCCGGGUAGUCCCAGCCGUAAACGAUGUAGGCUCGGUGAUGGACUGGCUCCGAGCCAGUCCAGUGCCGCAGGGAAGCCGUUAAGCCUACCGCCUGGGGAGUACGGCCGCAAGGUUAAAACUUAAAUGAAUUGGCGGGG